RNAcentral lists this ribosomal RNA (497 nucleotides) under uncultured bacterium. RNAcentral's name for it is "partial 16S ribosomal RNA". It matches the Rfam family "Bacterial small subunit ribosomal RNA", at positions 28 to 507 of the family's 1533-position model. The record is from RNAcentral.
GAUGAACGCUGGCGGCGUGCUUAAUACAUGCAAGUCGAACGAACAGACGCGGAGCUUGCUCGUCUCUCGUUAGCGGCAGACGGGUGAGACACACGUGUAUAACCUCCCUAUCAUACUGAUAUAACUUCGGAACUCGGGCGCUAAUACCGUAUAAUAUAUUGAACCGCAGUGUUCGUUGGUAAAUGUCGGUUUUGCUGGCUGUUCUCGCUGGUUAUGCGCCGCUUGGGCGAGUUGGGAAGGAAACGGCUUUACAAGGCUACGAUGCGUAGCCGAGCUGCGAGGGUGAUCGGCCACACUGGAACUGAGACACGGUCCAGACUCCUACGGGAGGCAGCAGUAGGGAAUCGUGCGCAAUGGGAGAAAGCUUGACGGAGCAACGCCGCGUGAGUGAUGAAGGUCUUCGGAUCGUAAAACUCUGUUAUUAGGUAAGAACAAAUGUGUAAGUAACGAUGCACGUCUUGACGGUAACUAAUCAGAAAGCCACGGCUAACUACGUG